UACUCAACGCCCGGCGUGCACAGUCCCACACUCACCAGCAGCCGUGCUCUCUAUUCUCCCGUGCACCCGUUAUUGUGUGUGUGUGUGUCUGGAAGGGGGUGUGCAGAAGGGCGAAUAGCGUAACAGACAAGCCGCGGGCAUUCCUUUUCUUUGUUUGUUUCGUUGUGGUCACUGCAUUGCAUCUCGGUCCCGCCACCUGCACGCCAUCGGAGUUGUCUCACCUCCCAGCCUUCUGGUCCGCUUGAUUUUGCUCAUCCCCUCCUCUUCGUUCCUUUCCUUGUGAGCCCCGACGCGUGGACACAGGCGAAUGCUGCGGCGGGGUCUUCUACGUCUAGUGCGUGCCUUGUCAGCGGAUGCGUCGCUCGUUUCGCUGCCGCGGAACGUGCAGCGCUGCGAAGUGUUCCGCAAUGUUGUCUCACUAGAUGAGGAGGAGCUCAUUUACGCCGAGCUCAGCCGUAUUCUGCAACGCGAAGGACAGACGACCGUCUGGAAAGGGUCUACGCCGGAAGACAAGGUCAUCAAGCAUGUGUACCUGGAGAUGUUCGGCACGGAAAAGGAAUUCACUGAGGUAAAGAACUGGCAAAAGAGGGAGGUGCGCCAUCUACCGGGGUUUCUGUGGUCGCCGACAUUGCUGCGCGUGCUGAGUGACGUGGCGCCGCCGCUGAUGGGUGCAAUACCGGAUACGGCGCGGGUUGUAGAGCAUCAGAUCCCCGGCUACGAGAUGCAUGUCGAGCACCCCACCGUUGGCACUGGCUUUCUUUAUCUCAAUCUGCUGAGUGAUACCGUGUUGGACUUUGACGACGAGAGCACUGGACGGCGCGGGCAGGUGCUGCUGCCCUCUCGCGCCCUAAUGUGCGUCUCCGGCGAGGCACGCUGGGGCUUCCGCUUUGGUGAGAAGACGGAGGAGGUGCACACGUACGUCGCGGCCAACGGAACUCGCAGACGGGUGGAGACCGACAUGCGCCUCAGCGUGCAGCUGUGGAAGCUCAACCCCGAUCUCCUCGACGGGCGCCUCUUGCAGGAGAGGCUCGAGGAGAGUAUGGAGAUGGCUGGCAAACAGCUCGCGGUGGAGGUGGCUAAGCGCGUCGAGCUGGAGAAGGGCUGUGAGGAAGAUGCGGCAGUGCUGCAGCCGCCUGACGUGCAGACGCCGUCCCUCACCGCUACCGUCGAUCCGCAGCGCCCGCUCAACACGUUUUUGGCCGCGGCAAUGGAGAACGUGUCGGGCAAGGGUGUGCUUGGCGGUGAUCUGGCACAGCCGGGGGGUUGCUUGGCUUCCGGCCAGGCCGGUGCCAAGAAGACGAUGGGGGAUAUUCGCCAAGACUAUGGGCAGUACAAGCAGCAGUUCUCUAAGGUGUACGGUAUCCUGCAGGACUUGAAGGUGAUGCAGGACUCCGGGCAGCCGAUCAACGACCUGUGGUUGAAAAAAAAGAUGACGGAGUCGUCCUCGGUGGACGCGGAGAAGGAUCGCGAAGACGGCUUCGAUGCCUCCAACAUCGAAGGAACGUGGGAUAAGGUCGACGCCAAGGCGCGCUUCUAUAAAGCGAAGCUGAAGGCCAUGGACUACGACGGCACCGCCUUCCUCAACUCUCGCAUGCCUGACAUCUCGCAGGACGCCCCACUCGACAUGCGCAGCACGAUUCGUAAGAUGGCCCCCCAUGUCAAGGAUGGCGACAAGAUUCUCGCCAGCCUCCCCAACUCCGGCUGAGGGCACACGUCUCCCUUUCAUCUCCCCCUCUUUGUGCAUUCUGCUAUGCAACAUUUUAUUGUAGUUGUCGCCAUGAGUGGUGCGCUGCUGUGAUGGCUCCUCCGACAGUUUUCCCCUUCUCGCUCCCUCUUAUCGAUCUCCUCCACGCUCUACAAACCUCGACAUGCCGUGCUGCCCAAGCUCCGUCGAAGGGGUCAACGCUGAAGCGGAAGCGCCCAAUCUGUAAAACAAGAAACAAUAUCUGUGAGUUUAUCUCUGUGUGUGUGUGUGUGUGUGCAUGUGCGUGUGCGGCCAUACACAAAGUGAGGGAUGCCGCGCUCGAGUACAUAUUCUCACUCUCUCGCUCUCACGAGCGCCUCUGUGUUCACGUGUUGGCUAAUUGCUUUACUGGAUGGGUGGCUUCAGCCCCCUCUCCCCUCCCUACUCACCGCACUGCAUCCUUUGCUUGUGGUAUCUCGCUACACAGAGUGUCCUCACUUAUCUCUCGUAUUUCCUUGCGUUCUCAUGCUCAACUCGAUAG
This 2225-nucleotide unclassified non-coding RNA is filed under the name Leishmania donovani. Its description in RNAcentral is "gene:LdHU3.33.4740(CDS-product:hypothetical_prote in_conserved)". The record is from RNAcentral. Lineage: Eukaryota; Euglenozoa; Kinetoplastea; Trypanosomatida; Trypanosomatidae.